CCUACGGGAGGCAGCAGUGGGGAAUAUUGGACAAUGGGCGCAAGCCUGAUCCAGCCAUGCCGCGUGAGUGAUGACGGCCUUAGGGUUGUAAAGCUCUUUUACCUGGGAAGCGGUACCAGGAGAAUAAGCCCCGGCUAACUUCGUGCCAGCAGCCGCGGUAAUACGAAGGGGGCUAGCGUUGUUCGGAUUUACUGGGCGUAAAGGGUGCGUAGGCGGACUGAUAAGUCAGGGGUGAAAUCCCAAGGCUCAACCUUGGAACUGCCUUUGAUACUGUUAGUCUUGAGUUCGAGAGAGGUGAGUGGAACUGCGAGUGUAGAGGUGAAAUUCGUAGAUAUUCGCAAGAACACCAGUGGCGAAGGCGGCUCACUGGCUCGAACUGACGCUGAGGCACGAAAGCGUGGGGAGCAAACAGGAUUAGAUACCCUUGUAGUC
RNAcentral lists this ribosomal RNA (432 nucleotides) under uncultured bacterium. RNAcentral's name for it is "partial 16S ribosomal RNA". It matches the Rfam family "Bacterial small subunit ribosomal RNA", at positions 338 to 795 of the family's 1533-position model. The record is from RNAcentral.